RNAcentral lists this transfer RNA (19 nucleotides) under Clarias batrachus (walking catfish). RNAcentral describes it as "partial tRNA-Thr". The record is from RNAcentral. Lineage: Eukaryota; Metazoa; Chordata; Actinopteri; Siluriformes; Clariidae.
GCCCUAGUAGCUUAGCCAC